Paramormyrops kingsleyae is the source of this 1015-nucleotide long non-coding RNA. RefSeq lists it as uncharacterized. The record is from RefSeq and is a predicted model, not a curated record. Lineage: Eukaryota; Metazoa; Chordata; Actinopteri; Osteoglossiformes; Mormyridae.
UCUAGAACUCGUGGAUUUCUGCUGACACCGCUUGGACUGUGCACUACAUCUUGUCACACCUGUAAGUGCUUCACCUCCAUGCUGGGUCGAGUCCGGUGCAUCCGAGAACCAUUUGUCAUCGUUCAAGUGGCCUGGGAACGCCGGGGCGCAACGAGACGAUGGUAAUGGAGAACAUGUGGGUCGUAAGCGAAAAUAACGAGAAAAAGACUGUAAGAAUAAAUAGAGAGAAAAAUAAAUCACGGAAAGCGCUGAACGCUGAACAGCAGAUAGCCCAAAGAAUGUUCGAUGUUUAUUUCCAUAAACUCCGAAACAGACGGUUUACCGGAUUCGUAAACAGGUUACGGCUGUUCGGCUCCAUGAUUUCGCCGCACCGCUGCCAAGAAUUAACUCCUCAGCAGAGUCUCCCUGUCAGCGUUGAUGAGAAAACAGGGCAUUGAUAUUUCUGCAGGACACUGAAGAAUUGAGUCCAUCUGGAAUAUCUCUCUUUGUCUUGCUUAUAAGCUGGGAAAGUUCUGGAUGAUGGAGUUAGACAUGUAUUAUACACAUGGCGACUAACAAAAUCUAGCGACGGGUCACGUUUGUGUUCCACUGGAAAGGGAAACAAACAAAUUUUCUUCGUACACGCCCAGACUCCGACUGACUGACAGUUUCCUAAAGGAAUGCCGCGGAUCCUCUGGAAAUUGAAAGAAACAUCUUCUUCACGUUGCUGCGAAAUUACUUCAAGAAAGUAGAAUCUUGGCCUAGGAAGACGUUGAUGAUGACAAACUGGUAGCUAUUAGCAUCAGCUCUCCGAUUCCCCAUGGUGAACGCUCAGGGGCACAUGCAUGUGCACGAUGGAGCAAAUGUUGUCAAAUCUGGAGGGAAGCCUUCCGGAAGCCAUAGUGGGGUUAAGGAGAGUAACCUUGACCACAUGGGUACCCUUUAGCUCUCUGCUAACCCCACCAACGACGGCCGGCUAUGGUGAUUGAUUACCGAGGAAACUUUUCUCCGCUUACAGAUGCGUGACAACCUCAGA